This 636-nucleotide long non-coding RNA is filed under the name Sinocyclocheilus grahami. RNAcentral's name for it is "lncRNA (ENSSGRG00000014077.1)". Lineage: Eukaryota; Metazoa; Chordata; Actinopteri; Cypriniformes; Cyprinidae. The record is from RNAcentral.
CUUUGGAAACUCCCAUGUCUGUUGACCUCAGAAGAAAGCUGCUCUUUUCUGUGAGUCAGAACUUGAUCUCAAGAAGGAGUUGUGGACUCAUCCCACCACACCCAGUAGUUCCCAUUGAUCCAUGGAACAUAAAAGCCCCCGACUUCACCCCAAAACUGUACAGAUCUUCGGGUUUGCCACGGAUCAAGAGCAAAAACAUUUACCUGGUUAAAUCAAACAAUAGUGUGGAUGGAAAAUCGUUAAUUUUGGUAAAGAUUAACGAUGUUACUCCUUCAAUAUUGCCUGGACUUGAGAAAAAGGGAUGUAAAGCACGACCAUUUAUCACAUUCUACAAACCACCAGACACACUAGAGUCAAAACUGCUGUUUGUGAGUGCAGGGAUGUAUCCAGCGGGGCUGUACAAAGAUCCAAAACCUCAUAACUUCAGACCUUGUGCUGAGGUAAUGCCGGAAAUUGUGACUUCUUUAGAAAAGGAUUCUGGGUGCUUGAUCCUCAAGUCUCAGUGCCUAAAAGCAGUCAAUGACAGCCAUCCUGACAUGAACCCUUCUCACAGAGACACAGCGAGCAAAAUAGACACUUUCAAACCAGCAGAGCUUAAAUGGGACUCAAGGCUCAUACUACCAAAGACGCCAUGGC